This is a long non-coding RNA of Raphanus sativus (radish), 1464 nucleotides long. RefSeq lists it as uncharacterized. The transcript has 8 exons. NCBI's taxonomy places the organism in Eukaryota, Viridiplantae, Streptophyta, Magnoliopsida, Brassicales, Brassicaceae. The record is from RefSeq and is a predicted model, not a curated record.
GUCUUCUCCACCAAUAUUUUCCUCUGUAAUCACCGUAACCGUUACUUCAAUAAUCAAUGAUGUUCUUUACUCUCUCCUUUUCGUUCGACCUCCCUAUGAUUCUUUAUCUUCCAAAUCCAGACGUUUCAUGAUUCUAUCAACCAGUUGCUAUAAAUUUAGGGCCAUACACACAAACCAUCACUACCCAACAGUAUUGAUCUUCUUCUCACAGAUUUGUUACAAAAAAAAAAAAUUCACAGGCGAUGAAUUCCAACAGUAAAUCUCCUGUUUCCGGCGAUCUUACCGCGAAGAAACCAAAUGGAAAAGACGUUGUCUCCAGCGAUCCUAAGACGAACAAACCAAACGGCGAUCCGUUGACUCCUCCGACAAUCCGACCAGACGUACCGGCGGUUCCGGUAGCUAUUGCGCUAUCUCCAUCUCCGGCGACCUUAUACCGAGAUGAAGAAUCUAUAUGUUUGUCUCCACUCGAGACGUUAGGACUUCUACUCUGCUCAAUCUUCUUUCUGAAUCAGAGAUAUGGUCACUGCUCCACCACCAUUCAAGUGAGGUUGCUCAAACUCUGGUUAUUGGAUUUACAGGGCUGGGGUGUUGCGUUGCUGGUUGGAUGCCAAGCAAAGGCGAUGCCUUUAAUAUAAGAAGGUAUAUAAAGUUUGCGAACAGGUGGCUUAAGUGGACAUGACUAUCCUACCAAGGAUGGUAGUGCGGUCAGGGACUACAUCCAUGUGAUGGAUUUGGCAGAUGGGCAUAUUGCUGUGCUAAGGAAGCUAUUUGCUGAUUCGGAGAUAGGCUGUAAUGCUUACAAUCAAGGGACUGGACGAGGAACGUCUGUGUUAGAACGUCUGUAUAAAAAAGCUUCUGGCAAGAAAAUACCUAUCAAACUUUGUCCGAGAAGGCCAGGAGAUGCAACUGCAGUUUAUGCUUCAACAGAGAGAGCUGAGAAAGAACUUGGCUGGAAGUAGAUUGUCUUUUAGUCAACUGAGACAUGUGUUUCACGAAAAUCAAAGGUGGUUUGAGGUACUUCAGUUCUUUCAGUGAAUGUCAACCUCCACAUGAGAAACAGAGAACUGGGUUUAGGUCCAAGACGGAUCAAGUUUUGGUUUCAGAACUGAAGAAUACAGAAUAAGGCACAACACGAAAGAGUUGAUAGUUGUGCACCCAAGGAAGAGAAUGAUUGGAUUCAUUGCGAAAACAUUGUCAUUCGAAAAGCUCACAAACACACCAUUUGCCACAACUGUGGUGAUGCUCCUGUUCAUGACGACUCUUUGAUGAACAGAAGCUUAGAGAAGAGGUUCUAGCGUUUUCUUUACCAUCUCAUGUUCAAAACAAGGUCACGGUGGGUGUCAGUCUAAUGAGAACUGUUGGUAUCAAAUCUUUUUACUAUAUGUUGUUGAGACCUCACAAGAAAAGUAAGAAAAUAUGAGGAAACCAUAAGAGUAAACAAACUAAUACCACAUUAAGCAACAA